UUCGAGGUAUGGUGCUGGGUGCAGAUGCAGUGUGGCUCUGGAUAGCACCUUAUGGACAGUUGUGUCCCCAAGGAAGGAUGAGAAUAGCUACUGAAGUCCUAAAGAGCAAGCCUAACUCAAGCCAUUGGCACACAGGCAUUAGACAGAAAGCUGGAAGUUGAAAUGGUGGAGUCCAACUUGCCUGGACCAGCUUAAUGGUUCUGCUCCUGGUAACGUUUUUAUCCAUGGAUGACUUGCUUGGGUAAGGACAUGAAGACAGUUCCUGUCAUACCUUUUAAAGGUAUGGAGAGUCGGCUUGACUACACUGUGUGGAGCAAGUUUUAAAGAAGCAAAGGACUCAGAAUUCAUGAUUGAAGAAAUGCAGGCAGACCUGUUAUCCUAAACUAGGGUUUUUAAUGACCACAACAAGCAAGCAUGCAGCUUACUGCUUGAAAGGGUCUUGCCUCACCCAAGCUAGAGUGCAGUGGCCUUUGAAGCUUACUACAGCCUCAAACUUCUGGGCUCAAGUGAUCCUCAGCCUCCCAGUGGUCUUUGUAGACUGCCUGAUGGAGUCUCAUGGCACAAGAAGA
Molecule: long non-coding RNA, 569 nt
Filed under: Homo sapiens (human)
Lineage: Eukaryota; Metazoa; Chordata; Mammalia; Primates; Hominidae
Description: HSALNT0296646
Source: RNAcentral